GAAACGACUGCUAAGACUGGAUAGGAAAUAAUGAGGCAUCUCGUUAUUUUUAAAAGACCUUCGCAAGAAGGUAUGCUUAAAGAGGGGCUUGCGCCACAUUAGUUUGUCGGUAAGGUAACGGCUUACCAAGACGAUGAUGUGUAGCUGGACUGAGAGGUUGAACAGCCACAUUGGGACUGAGACACGGCCCAAACCCCUACGGGAGGCAGCAGUAGGGAAUUUUCGGCAAUGGAGGAAACUCUGACCGAGCAACGCCGCGUGAACGAUGAAGUAUUUCGGUAUGUAAAGUUCUUUUAUUAAAGAAGAAACGCUAGUGGAAAAACUAGUUUGACGUUAUUUAAUGAAUAAGCCCCGGCAAACUAUGUGCCAGCAGCCGCGGUAAUACAUAGGGGGCGAGCGUUAUCCGGAAUUAUUGGGCGUAAAGGGUGCGUAGGCGGUUUAGUAAGUCUCUAGUUUAAAUUCAACGCUUAACGUUGUCCUGCUAGAGAAACUACUAGACUAGAGUAAGAUAGAGGCAAGCGGAAUUCCAUGUGUAGCGGUAAAAUGUGUAAAUAUAUGGAGGAACACCAGAGGCGUAGGCGGCUUGCUGGGUCUUUACUGACGCUGAGGCACGAAAGCGUGGGGAGCAAACAGGAUUAGAUACCCUGGUAGUCCACGCCGUAAACGAUGAGUACUAAGUGUCGGGGGUUUCCUCGGUACUGAAGUUAACACAUUAAGUACUCCGCCUGAGUAGUACGUACGCAAGUAUGAAACUUAAAGGAAUUGACGGGAUCCCGCACAAGCGGUGGAUCAUGUUGUUUAAUUCGAAGAUACACGAAAAACCUUACCAGGUCUUGACAUUAUUCUGCGAAGCUAUAGAAAUAUAGUGGAGGUUAUCAGAAUAACAGGUGGUGCAUGGUUGUCGUCAGCUCGUGUCGUGAGAUGUUAGGUUAAGUCCUAAAACGAGCGCAACCCUUGUCGUUAGUUACCAGCACGUUAUGGUGGGGACUUUAGCGAGACUGCCAAUGAAAAAAUUGGAGGAAGGUGAGGAUUACGUCAAAUCAUCAUGCCCCUUAUGAUCUGGGCUACAAACGUGAUACAAUGGCUAUUACAAAGAGCAGCUGAAACGUGAGUUGUUAGCUAAUCUCAAAAAAAUAGUCUCAGUUCGGAUUGAAGUCUGCAACUCGACUUCAUGAAGUUGGAAUCGCUAGUAAUCGCGAAUCAGCAUGUCGCGGUGAAUACGUUCACGGGGUUUGUACACACCGCCCGUCA
This 1251-nucleotide ribosomal RNA is filed under the name Cote d'Ivoire lethal yellowing phytoplasma. RNAcentral's name for it is "bacterial SSU rRNA". It matches the Rfam family "Bacterial small subunit ribosomal RNA", at positions 153 to 1399 of the family's 1533-position model. Lineage: Bacteria; Bacillati; Mycoplasmatota; Mollicutes; Acholeplasmatales; Acholeplasmataceae. The record is from RNAcentral.